Molecule: ribosomal RNA, 197 nt
Filed under: uncultured bacterium
Lineage: Bacteria
Description: partial 16S ribosomal RNA
Rfam family: Bacterial small subunit ribosomal RNA
Source: RNAcentral
ACUCCUACGGGAGGCAGCAGUGGGGAAUUUUGGACAAUGGGCGCAAGCCUGAUCCAGCCAUGCCGCGUGCGGGACGAAGGCCUUCGGGUUGUAAACCGCUUUCAGCCGGAAAGAAAUCGCCAAGGCUAAUAUCCUUGGUGGAUGACGGUACCGGAAGAAGAAGCACCGGCUAACUACGUGCCAGCAGCCGCGGUAAU